Cricetulus griseus (Chinese hamster) is the source of this 153-nucleotide non-coding RNA. The record is from Rfam. NCBI's taxonomy places the organism in Eukaryota, Metazoa, Chordata, Mammalia, Rodentia, Cricetidae.
GACUCUUAGCGGUGGAUCACUCGGCUCUAGUGUCGAUGAAGAAUGCAGCUAGCUGUAAUUAAUGCAGCAUGUAUUACCUUGUGAAGUUUGCUUUCUUAUAAAUUAGCACAUACUCGCCUUCCCAAUUAAAAUGUAAUCCCUACUGCAAGAUCU